GUAACACUAACUGGAGGACCGAACCGACUAAUGUUGAAAAAUUAGCGGAUGACUUGUGGCUGGGGGUGAAAGGCCAAUCAAACCGGGAGAUAGCUGGUUCUCCCCGAAAGCUAUUUAGGUAGCGCCUCGUGAACUCAUCUUCGGGGGUAGAGCACUGUUUCGGCUAGGGGGUCAUCCCGACUUACCAACCCGAUGCAAACUACGAAUACCGAAGAAUGUUAUCACGGGAGACACACGGCGGGGGCUAACGUCCGUCGUGAAGAGGGAAACAACCCAGACCGCCAGCUAAGGUCCCAAAGUCAUGGUUAAGUGGGAAACGAUGUGGGAAGGCACAGACAGCCAGGAUGUUGGCUUAGAAGCAGCCAUCAUUUAAAGAAAGCGUAAUAGCUCACUGGUCGAGUCGGCCUGCGCGGAAGAUGUAACGGGGCUAAACCAUGCACCGAAGCUGCGGCAGCGACACUAUGUGUUGUUGGGUAGGGGAGCGUUCUGUAAGCCUGCGAAGGUGACCUGUGAGGGUUGCUGGAGGUAUCAGAAGUGCGAAUGCUGACAUAAGUAACGAUAAAGCGGGUGAAAAGCCCGCUCGCCGGAAGACCAAGGGUUCCUGUCCAACGUUAAUCGGGGCAGGGUGAGUCGACCCCUAAGGCGAGGCCGAAAGGCGUAGUCGAUGGGAAACAGGUUAAUAUUCCUGUACUUGGUGUUACUGCGAAGGGGGGACGGAGAAGGCUAUGUUAGCCGGGCGACGGUUGUCCCGGUUUAAGCAUGUAGGCUGGUUAUCCAGGCAAAU
This 784-nucleotide ribosomal RNA is filed under the name Klebsiella pneumoniae. Its description in RNAcentral is "partial 23S ribosomal RNA". It matches the Rfam family "Bacterial large subunit ribosomal RNA", at positions 756 to 1541 of the family's 2925-position model. Lineage: Bacteria; Pseudomonadati; Pseudomonadota; Gammaproteobacteria; Enterobacterales; Enterobacteriaceae. The record is from RNAcentral.